Molecule: long non-coding RNA, 1646 nt
Organism: Tupaia belangeri chinensis (Chinese tree shrew)
Lineage: Eukaryota; Metazoa; Chordata; Mammalia; Scandentia; Tupaiidae
Exons: 2
Source: RefSeq, a predicted model, not a curated record
GCACGCGCGUGUGUCCCACGCCUGUGUGCCCCGUCUGAGUGGCGGUGUGUAGUCCGUGUGAGUGCCUUGGAGACUUCUCGGUGAGUCUAGGGACAGGAAGAUGGUGGGCGACGUGAUCGGGGCCCAGGCCUACGCCUCCACCGCCAAGUGCCUGAACGUCUGCACCUUGGUCCUCGGCAUCCUCAUGGUCGUUGUGGCCAUCACUGUUGUCAUCAUCAGUGCAUCCGUCUCGGGAUGACCCCGCAGGUCUCCGAUGAGGAAGUGCCUGAAGUCCCCCGUCGUUGGCCACGCCCCUCCGUCUCUGCCCCAGCUACCCUGGACUGUUGGCACUCUCCUCUUGCCCUAGCGUUUUACUAUUUUUUAAGUCUUUUUUCCCCUUAAUUUCCAUAAAGUGUGUACUAGAGAGAGAGAGAGAGAGAGAGCGCGCCCCGGGUGGCUGUGGUCAUGCCGCGGUCCUUUUCCUCCGUUUAUGCAUCCCCUGAUGUUUUGGGACCCUGACAGACCUGCACCCAGACUGCUUUUGAAGCCGUUGGGGUUGGGGUUCAGACCGAGGUCGGCCCUGCGGGAUUGGCCCUCUGCAGAGUGUUUCACCCAUGGCCCCUAGCUGCACCCAACUCCAGCACCCUUGUACUUUACAACUUUGUGCUCACAUGUCUGACUACGAUGGGAUUCAAUAAAGUGCACAUGUUUGCAGUGGAGUGGUGCUACCCCCCCGGGAGGGGACGUGCCGAGGGUCCCUCCCUGACCUGGGCCCAUCGCCCAGCCGCCCGCUGUGCUGCGCCGAGGACCAGAGUCCUGGGUGGUCUCUCCUUUGCAAGAUCUGAGCCCUGAGCCUAGAUCUUCCCUUCGGGGAAGCCUGGUUGAGUGUAGAACGCCCCAAUUGUCCGUCACCCUCAGGAAGGUGCAGAGGGUCCACAGCCCAGGGCCUCUGUCCCUGGACUGACGCUUGGGGCCUUGGGAGACUUGCGGGUUCCAGGAGCAGUGAGCUCAUCUGGAAGGCAAGAAGCUGCCACAGGCCAGCCAGCAGAGGGCGCCACAGGCGUCCGUAAAGGCUGUGUCCCUGGGGUGGCCAGCAAGGGUUCAUUCAGCCUUGAACUCCAGCCCUGGAGCGGGUGGAGGGUAGGGCUGAUUCCCCAUCCAGACUCUCCACUCGGCCUCCCAGCCUGAGCCGGUCCUCAGACGGGGAGUGAUGGACAAAGGUGCUGCCACGGGACUGCUGUGUGCACGACCACGUGCCUCAGUCCUUCCCAAGGCAGCUGGUGGCCCUCCACUGGGGUCCCGGGCCCUGCGGAGAGCGGUCCUGUCUGGGCAUCUCAGGCACUGCUGCACACGGGCCGGGUCAGGCCUGCUGGGCUUCUCCCUAGGUCCUGGUCCUCGGGGAGCCUGGGGCGGAGGACAGUGGAGUGAGACAGGAGAAAGCCAGCGGAUGGAAGCGGGGAAGGGCGGGAGCACCUGCCCGUGUGGCUAGAUAGAAAAACCGAUCAGGGCAGAGAGCCCCCCACCCAAGGCAGUGUAGGUGGGCGAUUUCCAGCGGGGCAUGUCUAGCUGACCAAGGGCCCUCGAGCCACUCUCUCUGCUCGGGCCGCUCCUACCUCUUGGGAGCGUAUUUUCACUUUUACUUAAUAAACUAACCUUUGCUUUCGCCA